UUAAAAAUUACUAUUCCAUUAUUGAAGAAUGCUAUCCAUUCUUUCGAUUAUUUUUCCAUUACACCCAUUACAUCCAUUUCAAAAAAUCACAAUAUCAAAAUCUAUUUAGUAUGUAAGAAAGUAGUAAGGGUUUGAUCACACAUAUACACACAUAAAUUAAAAACAAUUUGCAAAUGAAUUGAACGAAGCUGGGUUAGCAAACACUUUGCUGACAAAAAUUGAGAUUUGGGAGUAGUAGUAGUAGCAGAGCAGAGCAACGAAGGAAUCAUCAUUGGAUUGGACAACAUGGCUCAGCACACGAACAACAGAGAUAGCGAGCCAAAGAGAGGGAGAGAUUACUUAGCACAUUGUGGCCCAAUAUGUCCGACACAUCAAGUGGUGACGACGAUGAUGGAGACGAGGAAUGUGGGGUGGAGCGCGGAAAUGUGGUUUCAAACCUUGCGAACAAUCAACCAGUUGUUCGUCUGGAAAGGAUGAGCAAUGAUUUGUUACGGCAAUGGAAUGUGCCGCCGCCAAAUGUCACACAACAAACACCGGCACGCCGUUCAAAACGUGUGCAA
Molecule: long non-coding RNA, 560 nt
Organism: Contarinia nasturtii (swede midge)
Lineage: Eukaryota; Metazoa; Arthropoda; Insecta; Diptera; Cecidomyiidae
Exons: 3
Source: RefSeq, a predicted model, not a curated record